AGCGCAGACGGUUAUUUAAGCAGGAUGUGAAAUCCCCGAGCUCAACUUGGGAACUGCGUGCUGAACUGGGUAACUAGAGUGUGUCAGAGGGGGUAGAAUUCCACGUGUAGCAGUGAAAUGCGUAGAGAUGUGGAGGAAUACCGAUGGCGAAGGCAGCCCCCUGGGAUAACACUGACGUUCAUGCUCGAAAGCGUGGUAGCAAACA
This 205-nucleotide ribosomal RNA is filed under the name uncultured bacterium. RNAcentral's name for it is "partial 16S ribosomal RNA". It matches the Rfam family "Bacterial small subunit ribosomal RNA", at positions 568 to 774 of the family's 1533-position model. The record is from RNAcentral.